This 503-nucleotide ribosomal RNA is filed under the name uncultured Glomus. RNAcentral describes it as "SSU rRNA". It matches the Rfam family "Eukaryotic small subunit ribosomal RNA", at positions 569 to 1074 of the family's 1831-position model. Lineage: Eukaryota; Fungi; Glomeromycota; Glomeromycetes; Glomerales; Glomeraceae. The record is from RNAcentral.
AGCAGCCGCGGUAAUUCCAGCUCCAAUAGCGUAUAUUAAAGUUGUUGCAGUUAAAAAGCUCGUAGUUGAAUUUCGGGGUUAGUAGGUUGGUCAUGCCUCUGGUAUGUACUGGUCUCACUGAUUCCUCCUUCCUGAUGAGCCGUAAUGCCAUUAAUUUGGUGUUGCGGGGAAUUUGGACUGUUACUUUGAAAAAAUUAGAGUGUUUAAAGCAAGCUAACGCUUGAAUACAUUAGCAUGGAAUAAUGAAAUAGGACGUUCGAUCCUAUUUUGUUGGUUUCUAGGAUUGACGUGAUGAUUAAUAGGGAUAGUUGGGGGCAUUAGUAUUCAAUUGUCAGAGGUGAAAUUCUUGGAUUUAUUGAAGACUAACUACUGCGAAAGCAUUUGCCAAGGAUGUUUUCAUUAAUCAAGAACGAAAGUUAGGGGAUCGAAGACGAUCAGAUACCGUCGUAGUCUUAACCAUAAACUAUGCCGACUAGGGAUCGGAUGAUGUUAAUUUUUAAUGA